GAGUUUGAUCGUGGCUCAGAACGAACGCUGGCGGCAUGCCUAACACAUGCAAGUCGAACGGGAUCCUGGCUUCGGCCAGGUGAGAGUGGCGGACGGGUGAGUAACGCGUGGGAACCUGCCCAAUGGUCUGGGAUAACCGCGGGAAACUGCGGCUAAUACCGGAUAAGCCCGAGAGGGGAAAGAUUUAUCGCCGAUGGAGGGGCCCGCGUCCGAUUAGGUAGUUGGUGAGGUAACGGCUCACCAAGCCGACGAUCGGUAGCUGGUCUGAGAGGAUGAUCAGCCACACUGGGACUGAGAUACGGCCCAGACUCCUACGGGAGGCAGCAGUGGGGAAUAUUGGACAAUGGGGGCAACCCUGAUCCAGCAAUGCCGCGUGAGUGAUGAAGGCCUUAGGGUUGUAAAGCUCUUUUGGCGGGGACGAUGAUGACGGUACCCGCAGAAUAAGCCCCGGCUAACUUCGUGCCAGCCGCCGCAGUAAU
This 479-nucleotide ribosomal RNA is filed under the name uncultured Alphaproteobacteria bacterium. RNAcentral's name for it is "bacterial SSU rRNA". It matches the Rfam family "Bacterial small subunit ribosomal RNA", at positions 9 to 524 of the family's 1533-position model. The record is from RNAcentral. Lineage: Bacteria; Pseudomonadati; Pseudomonadota; Alphaproteobacteria.